GACGAACCGUGCGAACGUUGUUCGGAAUCACUGGGCGUAAAGGGCGCGUAGGUGGUUUGAUAAGGGUGUGGUGAAAGCCCGGAGCUCAACUCCGGGUCUGCCGUGCCGACUGUCAAACUCGAGGGCUGUAGAGGCAGACGGAAUUCCGGGUGUAGCGGUGGAAUGCGUAGAGAUCCGGAGGAAGACCGGUGGCGAAGGCGGUCUGCUGGGCAGUUCCUGACGCUGAGGCACGAAGGCCAGGGGAGCAAACGGG
Molecule: ribosomal RNA, 253 nt
Filed under: uncultured bacterium
Lineage: Bacteria
Description: partial 16S ribosomal RNA
Rfam family: Bacterial small subunit ribosomal RNA
Source: RNAcentral